UAUUCUUCAUAUUCCCGCUAAUAUGUCCAAAGCUGAUGUGGAAAAAACUAUUUAUGCGAAAAGAAUCAAUUACAUGAUCCAUAGCUUAAAUGAAACAUGUACAAUCAAAUUUGACAGUAGAAACUAUGGAUCGCAAACUACAAGAAACUGAACAAAUGUACGUUCAACUCAAAUACUUUCUGCGAUCAAUGGCAGGCAACCGAUUUUUUUGGAAAUUUCACUAACGUGAAGCGCAAUAUCAAUCAAUGGAUACUGGAAAUAACAAAAACUAUUUCUAAUAUUCUGCCAACAGGCAGCGUUCAUCUCAAUGCCGAACUGGUCUUGGUGAACGCAAUCCGUUUUUACGGCUCAUGGGACCAAGUUGAUUUUGCAGAAGAUUCCCCAUCGCAAAGUACAUCUUCUCAAAACCGACUUUAUUUCAAUAAAGUAUCUCGGACGUAUAGACAAUAUGAAAUAUUCCAAUUAGUAAGACGCCUCCAAGACCGAGGAAGGAUCUGAUGAAUUUCGCCGGCUGCUGAAUGGAGAAAUACCGGCGCAAGAAAGCGAAUUUAGACGAUGAUGGAAUUUUCGAUCGAACAGGAAACGUCGAUCGGUGAUUUGCUGUGUAAUCUAGGCGCUGAAGAAGUAUUAGCAA
Long non-coding RNA from Pogonomyrmex barbatus (red harvester ant), 634 nucleotides. RefSeq lists it as uncharacterized. The record is from RefSeq and is a predicted model, not a curated record. Lineage: Eukaryota; Metazoa; Arthropoda; Insecta; Hymenoptera; Formicidae.